UACGAAGGGGGCUAGCGUUGCUCGGAAUGACUGGGCGUAAAGGGCGCGUAGGCGGAUGGCACAGUCAGAUGUGAAAUUCCCGGGCUUAACCUGGGGGCUGCAUUUGUGACUGGCAAGCUAGAGUAUGGCAGAGGGGGGUAGAAUUCCACGUGUAGCAGUGAAAUGCGUAGAGAUGUGGAGGAAUACCGAUGGCGAAGGCAGCCCCCUGGGCCAAUACUGACGCUCAUGCCACGAAAGCGUGGGGAGCAAACGAGG
RNAcentral lists this ribosomal RNA (255 nucleotides) under uncultured bacterium. RNAcentral describes it as "partial 16S ribosomal RNA". It matches the Rfam family "Bacterial small subunit ribosomal RNA", at positions 524 to 777 of the family's 1533-position model. The record is from RNAcentral.